Molecule: long non-coding RNA, 3356 nt
Organism: Cornus florida
Lineage: Eukaryota; Viridiplantae; Streptophyta; Magnoliopsida; Cornales; Cornaceae
Exons: 3
Source: RefSeq, a predicted model, not a curated record
CGUUGGUGCUUGACGGCACACCACAUGUGUUUAGUGCACUUUCAACGGCGUAAUUAUCUCUCUAUACACACACAGAUCAGGUUGUUUCCUUUUACUUUUCCCCUUAUCUGUUACGAAUUUCGUUUAAAUCUCUUUGGCAAAAAUUUAAUCUCUUUGCUUGAAAUUUGUUGAACUUGUAAGGGGAUAUUAAAUUUAAUCUAUUUUCAUAUAUUAUGUUGUGUUUGGAGCAUAAAUUCUUUUGGCUAUUGAAAUUAUUGUUUUAGUUUAAACUUUUAAUUAUUUUUAUUUUUAUUUUUUCGGUUUUAAUUCAUAAUUGCUGUUUUACAGGAGUGGUUCAGUUUUUUUAAUAUCUUGCAACUAAGCGUCUUCCUUACUUUGCCUGUUCUCUAUCUUUUAUCUCUCGGCUUUCUUUAAGCAGACUCUUCCUUCGCAUCAUCAAGAGAACAAGUCAGGCAUGAAAGUCAUUUUUCUGAAUCAUGGCAAGGUUGUUGUACGGCUGUAAUUUACACCCUGAUCUAGACUUGUGCUAAUGAAAACUUAGAAACAUAAAUUAAUCUUUGAACAGGAUCAUUGCCAAUGUUAGAAGUAAUAUGGUAACAAACUCUUAUGUCUCUUUCAAAUUUACCUCGUGAGUUACAUUUUAUAUACUCGACUUUUGUUUUAUAGAAGUCUGUUUCAGAUUGGUUUGCAAUGGAGGCAUUGUUAUGCUUUCAUGAGGCCUAAACUACAUCGUUAAUGUCUUGUAAUGGCUUUUUGUUAUGGCAGGUAUGAUCGAGCGAGGGAAGUUGAAAUAGGAAAUAAGGACGUAAAGCUUGAAUACCUGGAAGAAGCAUUCACAACAUCCAACUGGAUAGUUCAGAUUUACAAAGUCAAACCACCAAAUAAUAAGGGGGGAUUAACAUAACCCCUUCUCCCUUUUAUGUAGGAUAGAAGGAACAUGGUUGAUGAAUUUUGAGAGCUUCUUUAGUCUAAGAACUAUUUAGGGAUAUACACAUUUUGCCAUUGAGUUUAUGUUUUUAACAUUCGAGGCUUCUAUUUAUUUGCUGGAAUCAUUUAUGUUGAAAAUUUUAUAUUGCCUCCUUGCCUAAUAUUUAUCAAGUCUUUUGAUCAAGUAAAUGCCAAGAUCCUUGAUUGCUUGGGACGAUGUAAGUGACUGGCUUAGUAGAUUAUAAAGUUAAGAAUGGGCACUGGACGAUUUCCUCAAUGAAGGAGAGCUUCUUAAGAUGAAACUAGAUAACUAUUCUGGUAAACAAAUAAAUCUGUGUUGGGUCUUCAUGAUUUUCCUUGUUAUGUAUUGGGUGUCUCAAUUUUAGUUUUCAUUUACUUAUUUUUCUGCUUAAGUUUUUAUUUUUAUUUUUUGUUCUUGAUGCUCUUGGUCUAUUUUUUUUUUUUUUUAAAUCUGAUUUAUAUAAAAUAUAUGCAAUUUCAGGGGCUGGAUUUCAAUCCAAAAACAAGUAUUUGUUUGGGAAGGUAAAUAUUCAGAUCAAGCUUGUAGAAGGUGACUCUGCAGGGGCUGUCACUACUUUCUAUGUGAGUUUCAAUUUUCAACUAUUAUUUUUCAUGACUAAUAUUAUAUUUAUACACACAAACAUUUACACGAACUGGGUUUAAUGCAAUUAUAGUUUUAAUACAUUAUGUCAUUCAAUGCAUUUAUUUAAGUGUUCAGUUGCAGAAAAUAGAAAACUUGACAUCGUUUAAAUUCAAGAACUAGGGUAGUCUUAGCUGGCUGUUCCUUUCAGCUCAUGAAUUGGAUUAAAUUCCAUUUAUUUUUCACAUUUAAAGCCUACCCACCUAGUAUUUUGUCCGUGAACCAUUCAUUUCCUCCAAAAAAAAAAAAAAAAAAAAAAAAAAAAAGAUCUUUUAUUUUGUUGGGUCAAAUCUAUUUCUUUUUAAAAUUAGAAGAUUAUCACUCUCUAAUUUGCUUUAAUGUUAAUUGGUAAUUGACUGUGACAUUGAUGAUGAUGAUAACAAGUUUUUCUUUACUCUUUUUUGAGCUGUUGAUGUUGAUAUUUUGUUUUUGGUUUUGAUGUGUGCAGAUGUCAUUAGACGGCUCAAAUCAUAACGAGUUCGAUUUUGGCUCCCUAUUUUGUUUGUGGCUUCAGUAUUUUCUUUCAAGAAUAUUACAAUAUCUCAAUUAGUUGAUAGAGCAAUUUAUAGUAGUGAUAAAAUAAUUAUGAUGAUUUCAGAAACUUUUUAUUAAAUGGCGUUUUUUAUCUCUUUCUCUCUCCUCUUGUUUAAAUUGGAUUAUUUGCAGGGCUCUGCAAAUCAUUUAAUGCCAAGGACUGACUCUUGAUUACUUCAGGACAAAUUCAUUUACAUCCCCAUCUACCUUGACUUUACUGUGUUUUAAGUACUAUUUCUUUAAUUCAUUGCAUGUAUUUUGUUUGUAUUUUGUUCACAAAUAUUAGAAAAAAGAAAGUUUGAAGUUUGGUGAGUUCUUUUGAAGAAACUUGUGGUUGUGUUCUUUAAUUCGUUGCAUGUAUAUUGUUUGUAUUUUGUUUUCCACAUAACAAGGGUCAUGACGAUAAAAGAGAUCUAUGUGCAGUUUUUAAUGUGUUGGAUUCAAUGCUGAAGGGUAGCUUGGAGCGGUUGAAAACAAUGAGGUACAUUUCAUCAAUUGGCUUCAUUUCUUCAAACUAUGUGAUAUACAUAAAAGUCUUCCAAAGGGGCUAGGAAAAGACAAUAAUGGGAGCGUCGAUUGCAUAGCCUAUCAAGUACAUCACAAUUUGUAAGUUAUAUGGUCUUUAUGUUCGAUAAAAUUCUUUUAUGAUUGCACAUUUUUAAAUGGGGGUCACAUGCCUUUAAGUGACCAAUUUUGUGGUGUAUCUUGAACUUUAUUACCUUAUUGGUACAUCGGCCCAUGUGGAGGCCAUUUUUAUUUCUUGUUUUAAAAUGUUGAAAGCAUGGGAGUAUGGGCUCAUCGUAUGUGGAGGUUUUGAUUGAUUGUUGUGGAGGAGAAGUUGUUUAUAAUGUUGGUUAAGGAGUUAAUGCAAGUUGGCAACUUAAUUUUUUUUUUUUUUUUUUUUUUUUUAUGUAUUAGUUGUUAUUCAUAUUAUAUGCAUAUAAUUGAUGUAAGAAAAAAUGGGGUGGAUUAAUUACCUUGAAAAAAGAGUGCUAUAGUCACAUUUGUAUUCUCUAGUACCACAUGUCUUAGAAUGGGCUUUCCAGUCAGAUUGAACCGCAUAUCUCUUUGAACAUUUCUUACACUUGUACUUCUUCUCACCAUACUUUCUUAAGUAAUGCUUCUUGAUUAUGUCCACUUCUCACAAAUACACCUUCCUCUUCACUUCUUUUGUAGUUUUCUACUUUAGCUUCCAAGGUAGGUUGUGUCCUCUUCUAUGGAGCUGGAGUUUUUG